Molecule: unclassified non-coding RNA, 448 nt
Filed under: Hevea brasiliensis (rubber tree)
Lineage: Eukaryota; Viridiplantae; Streptophyta; Magnoliopsida; Malpighiales; Euphorbiaceae
Source: RNAcentral
GCACAAGCUAAGAUGAUUUAUCGGUUAAAUGAUCUGCUGUUGAAGAGUCCACUUUAAGUAUUAAAGCGCCGGCAUGUGUACGGGCUCGGACUCGGGUUUGGGUUCGGAUUCUAAGUCGGAUCCCGACUCAAACGGGUGGAGCCGAGCUCGUGGAGCGGUUCUCAAGUCGCUGGUGCUCGUCGGAGGAGCCUUAUUGCUCCGGCGGCUAACUAAGUCGACUACACGUUGGGACCAUGCUCGAAUUGUCGCAGAGUCACUUAACGGUGAAAAGUUUUCAAAGGAGCAAGCUGCUAGGGAUCCUGAUAAUUAUUUUAAUUUCAGAUGGCUUUCCUGUCCUGCUGCAGACAUGGUAGAUGGCUCUAAGGUUUUAUAUUUUGAGCAGGCAUUUUGGCGAACACCACACAAACCCUUUAGACAGAGAUUUUUCAUGGUCAAGCCUUGUGCAAAG